Molecule: ribosomal RNA, 481 nt
Filed under: uncultured bacterium
Lineage: Bacteria
Description: partial 16S ribosomal RNA
Rfam family: Bacterial small subunit ribosomal RNA
Source: RNAcentral
AUUGAACGCUGGCGGCAUGCUUUACACAUGCAAGUCGAACGGUAACAGGCCGCAAGGUGCUGACGAGUGGCGAACGGGUGAGUAAUGCAUCGGAACGUGCCCAGUCGUGGGGAUAACUACUCGAAAGAGUAGCUAAUACCGCAUACGAACUAUGGAUGAAAGCGGGGGACCGUAAGGCCUCGCGCGAUUGGAGCGGCCGAUGUCGGAUUAGGUAGUUGGUGGGGUAAAGGCUCACCAAGCCAACGAUCUGUAGCUGGUCUGAGAGGACGACCAGCCACACUGGAACUGAGACACGGCCCAGACUCCUACGGGAGGCAGCAGUGGGGAAUUUUGGACAAUGGGCGCAAGCCUGAUCCAGCAAUGCCGCGUGCAGGAAGAAGGCCUUCGGGUUGUAAACUGCUUUUGUACGGAACGAAACGGCUCUGGUUAAUACCCGGGGCUAAUGACGGUACCGAAAGAAUAAGCACCGGCUAACUACGUG